AUUGAACGCUGGCGGUAUGCUUAACACAUGCAAGUCGAACGAUGAGAAAGAGCUUGCUCUUUCGAUUAGUGGCGGACGGGUGCGUAACGCGUAGGAAUCUACCUAUUAGUGGGGGACAACUUAGGGAAACUUAAGCUAAUACCGCAUACGCCCUACGGGGGAAAGACGGGGAUCGCAAGACCUUUUGCUAAUAGAUGAGCCUGCGUAGGAUUAGCUAGUUGGUGGGGUAAAAGCUCACCAAGGCGACGAUCUGUAGCGGGUCUGAGAGGAUGAUCCGCCACACUGGAACUGAGACACGGUCCAGACUCCUACGGGAGGCAGCAGUGGGGAAUUUUGGACAAUGGGGGCAACCCUGAUCCAGCCAUGCCGCGUGAGUGAAGAAGGCCUUCGGGUUGUAAAGCUCUUUCGGCCGGGAAGAAAUCGCACGGGCUAAUACCCUGUGUGGAUAACGGUACCGGAAUAAGAAGCACCGGCUAACUACGUGCCAGCCGCCGCAGUAA
This 500-nucleotide ribosomal RNA is filed under the name uncultured bacterium. Its description in RNAcentral is "partial 16S ribosomal RNA". It matches the Rfam family "Bacterial small subunit ribosomal RNA", at positions 30 to 523 of the family's 1533-position model. The record is from RNAcentral.